RNAcentral lists this ribosomal RNA (429 nucleotides) under uncultured bacterium. RNAcentral's name for it is "bacterial SSU rRNA". It matches the Rfam family "Bacterial small subunit ribosomal RNA", at positions 352 to 795 of the family's 1533-position model. The record is from RNAcentral.
CAGUGGGGAAUUUUCCGCAAUGGGCGAAAGCCUGACGGAGCAACGCCGCGUGAGGGAGGAAGGCUCUUGGGUUGUAAACCUCUUUUCUCAAGGAAGAAGCAAUGACGGUACUUGAGGAAUCAGCAUCGGCUAACUCCGUGCCAGCAGCCGCGGUAAUACGGAGGAUGCAAGCGUUAUCCGGAAUGAUUGGGCGUAAAGCGUCCGCAGGUGGCAAUGCAAGUCUGCUGUCAAAGGCUGGGGCUUAACUCCAGACAGGCAGUGGAAACUGCAUCAGCUAGAGUGCGGUAGGGGCAGAGGGAAUUCCCGGUGUAGCGGUGAAAUGCGUAGAGAUCGGGAAGAACACCAGUGGCGAAAGCGCUCUGCUGGACCUGCACUGACACUCAGGGACGAAAGCUAGGGGAGCGAAUGGGAUUAGAUACCCCAGUAGUC